CCUACGGGUGGCAGCAGUGGGGGAUAUUGCACAAUGGGGGAAACCCUGAUGCAGCGACGCCGCGUGUGGGAAGACGGUCCUAUGGAUUGUAAACCACUGUCACCUGGGACGAAGAUGACGGUACCUGGGGAGGAAGCUCCGGCUAACUACGUGCGAGCAGCCGCGGUAAUACGUAGGUAGCGCGCGUUUGCCGGAAUUACUGGGUGUAAAGGGAGCGUAGGCGGGACUGCAAGUUGGGUGUCAAAUCUACCGGCUCAACCGGAAGCCGCACUCGAAAAUGCAGUUCUUGAGUGAAGUAGAGGCAGGCGGAAUUCCUGGUGUAGCGGUGAAAUGCGUAGAUAUUAGGAGGAACACCAGUGGCGAAGGCGGCCUGCUGGACUUUCACUGACGCUGAGGCUCGAAAGUGUGGGGAGCAAACAGGAUUAGAUACCCCAGUAGUC
RNAcentral lists this ribosomal RNA (440 nucleotides) under uncultured bacterium. RNAcentral describes it as "partial 16S ribosomal RNA". It matches the Rfam family "Bacterial small subunit ribosomal RNA", at positions 338 to 795 of the family's 1533-position model. The record is from RNAcentral.